GUUUUUUAAUUCUAAAUUUUGAUCUAGGGAGCCCUCAGACAUAAGGAGAAACCAAUAUGUUGAAUGAUGGGGUAUUACAUACAGAAGGACCAAGACCUUAUUUUCUCCUACUUAAGAUGGAAUCUUGUUAAGAUGAAAGGACAGCUUUUUAAAAGGAGAAGGUCAUAAGACAGUUUGAGGAAGGCAUUGGAAGAGGAAGAGGGGCAAUGUCUCCUUUGUUUUAUUGUUGGUAUAUAAACUUAAAAUCUCAGUUCUUUUUAUGGCACUUGUGGAGCCACUUCCUCUCCUCACCAAAAAAUGCCCAGUACCCUGAAUCCGAUCAAAUUACUCUCCUAAAGUAUAAGGCUUAGUUUCUGUGUGCUGCUUCGCGAGACAGUUCCCACAAAUCGAGAGUGUUAAUCAGACUUUUGUGUUUUCUUUUUUGGAUUGCUGUUGUUUGUUUUCAUUUAUCAUUUGUCUUUGCCUAAGCCAGGCUCAUCAAGAAUUAACAGCCAUCAGGCUGCCGAUGUGCUGACAGCAGACCCACUUAGAGUCCUGUGUUUGUAAUUCCAUGCAUUUGUUAUUUUACCUGUUUUGUCCCUGCCCCUUCUAGUCCUGUGCCUCCUGAUUGCUGAGUGUUCACCUGGACCUUCUGACUACCUUCCCUGUGCUAUUCCAUCAGCCUACAGACCUGGUACCUGGAUUUUUGCCCGAGAUGAUUCCUACCACCUUACUACUGACGAAGACACCCAUUCCAGUGGACCACUGUGACCCAGGAGGCAUUCAGCCAUCAUGAUGUGGCCUUUACCUCCACUCCUGUCUUGUUCUACCCAGAUUCAGCACAGCCCUUUAUAGUGAAGUCAGAGUCCUCAAGCCAAAUAGCUAAAGCUGUUUUAUCACAACAAAGGCCUAGUUUGUUCCAUGAGUGUGCAUUUCAUUUCUUCAGUUAAAGCCUUCAGAGACACACAAUAAAUUUGGACCAGGGGAUUUUUUAGUUAUUAAUGCUCUCUGAAGAAAGGCAACAUCUUUUUGAGAGCAGCAUUGGACCACACCCCACAAUCUCAAAUGAUUGAAAUUCAUGAACAUCUAGGAUCCCGUGAAGGUCACUGGACCCUGUUUUUUCUACUUCAAAUCCUGUAGUAGCCUACUGAAUGAGAAAACAUAUUCUGACCCAUUGGGAUCAAAUCAAAGGCACAGUGAACUCCUCAUAGCAUCUUCUUUGGAAUUACUCAGGAACCAGAACUUUUUACACAAAUGUAAGAAAUUCUACCAAGGAGUCCCCUUACCUAACAGCAUCUCACAAGGCUGCACCAGAUUCCAGAAAAGGCUUCUCUUGAUACAUCAAGGUAGAACCUCUAUGCAUUUUGUGACCGACUUAUUCUUAGAUCAUUGGUUUUCCAAAGGCUUUGUGGCCAUGAAGCCCUUUGAGUGAAAACUGUGCAGAAGCCCAGAGUAAAAGUGAAGCUGCUCUGGAUGAAGUAGUGAAGCAAGAGUAGGGGCCUGAAUCCUGCUACAACUAUCUUCCUUUACCACCGUGGUGACACCUAAGGGGACUUCCUUACAACACCUUGAACUCUUCCGAACACAGUUUGAAAACCACUGCCCCAGACAGCAAUAUGUUUGACCUGAAUGGCAUUCCAAUCUUUUCUGUACCUCCACUCAGCACAGUUCAUGUUCAGUAGAUGCUGAACAUUCUUAGAAAUACUGUGUGUGAACUUAGAAAAGUGCAAGAAGACAGGCAUGUCUUUGACCCCAGGAAUGAUCAUUUGCUGAAGAUGGUGUCAAGUGAACCUAGAUUAACAGCCCUCCACUCCAGAUGGAUAUCCAGUGAUUCCUAGAAUGGGAUAUAGCCAGAGAACAAUUCUAUGCACCCUACACUGACAGACUCCCUUAAGCAACACCAGAUGCUCUACUGGUACUUGAAGUACAUGACUUUGAAGUCUUGACCCUCCAUGAAUACCUGAAUUAUCAGCAAGCGGGUUUUGAAGCUGGUGCCUCAUUGAGGCCAUAUUAGAGCAACUUGUACAUUUGACCUCUUGUUAUCAGCCAUGGUACUCUACUUCGUGUGCAAGAGAUAACUAUGAAAGCCAAAUUCAAAUACUGGCAACAUUUCCUAAAGGGGCUCAAUAUCUAUCAUUCGUCUUCUUUUCCAAACUACACAUCACUGUAUGACUCAACCAGUAGCAGUUAUAUUGCCCCUUGGUUUUUAUUCAGUUUAACUACUGUUUCCAAGAUAAAUGAGCUAAUAAGCUUU
Molecule: long non-coding RNA, 2233 nt
Filed under: Homo sapiens (human)
Lineage: Eukaryota; Metazoa; Chordata; Mammalia; Primates; Hominidae
Description: non-protein coding TUG1:33
Rfam family: Taurine upregulated gene 1 conserved region 3 (bases 595-831)
Source: RNAcentral